Molecule: ribosomal RNA, 483 nt
Filed under: uncultured bacterium
Lineage: Bacteria
Description: partial 16S ribosomal RNA
Rfam family: Bacterial small subunit ribosomal RNA
Source: RNAcentral
AUUGAACGCUGGCGGCAGGCCUAACACAUGCAAGUCGAGCGGUAGAGAGAAGCUUGCUUCUCUUGAGAGCGGCGGACGGGUGAGUAAUGCCUAGGAAUCUGCCUGGUAGUGGGGGAUAACGUUCGGAAACGGACGCUAAUACCGCAUACGUCCUACGGGAGAAAGCAGGGGACCUUCGGGCCUUGCGCUAUCAGAUGAGCCUAGGUCGGAUUAGCUAGUUGGUGGGGUAAUGGCUCACCAAGGCGACGAUCCGUAACUGGUCUGAGAGGAUGAUCAGUCAAACGGGAACUGGAAAAGGGGCCAGAACCCGACGGGAGGCAGCAGGGGGGAAAAUUGGAAAAGGGGCGAAAGCCUGACCCAGCCAUGCCGGGGGGGGGAAGAAGGGUUUCGGAUGGUAAAGCACUUUAAGUUGGGAGGAAGGGCAGUAAAUUAAUACUUUGCUGUUUUGACGUUACCGACAGAAUAAGCACCGGCUAACUCUGU